UGAGUAACGAAAGAGGAGUGAGAAUCUCCUCCACUGAUUGUCCAAGGUUUCCUGAGUAAAGUUCGUCUGCUCAGGGUUAGUCGGGACCUAAGGCGAGGCCGAAAGGCGUAGUCGAUGGGAAUGCAGUGAAUAUUCUGCAGCCAGUGGGUGGUGACGAAUCCCGUGUGUUGUUCGACCUUAUUGGAUUGGUCGGGCCUCGAAGGGGUUCCAGGAAAUAGCCCCCACAUUAGACCGUACCCGAAACCGACACAGGUGGACUGGUA
This 263-nucleotide ribosomal RNA is filed under the name Pycnococcus provasolii. RNAcentral describes it as "partial Bacterial large subunit ribosomal RNA". It matches the Rfam family "Bacterial large subunit ribosomal RNA", at positions 1303 to 1673 of the family's 2925-position model. The record is from RNAcentral. Lineage: Eukaryota; Viridiplantae; Chlorophyta; Pseudoscourfieldiophyceae; Pseudoscourfieldiales; Pycnococcaceae.